RNAcentral lists this long non-coding RNA (1742 nucleotides) under Cyanistes caeruleus (blue tit). Its description in RNAcentral is "lncRNA (ENSCCEG00000009394.1)". The record is from RNAcentral. Lineage: Eukaryota; Metazoa; Chordata; Aves; Passeriformes; Paridae.
UGUUUUAAAAUCAGAGUGGGCGGGAUUUAGGUUUGGCCACGCCCAUGGUUUAUUCGUGGUUCAGGAUGGGUUUGGUGAAGGGAAGGGUUAAAUGGGGGCGUGGUCAGGCCCAAAAUGUGGGUGUGGUUUGGCGUCUCAGAAUCAGAGUGGGUGGGGUUUUGGUUUGGCCACGCCCGUUGUUUAUUCGUGGUUGGAAAUGGGUUUGAUGGCAGAAAGGGUUAAAUGGGGGCGUGGUCAGACCCAAAAAGUGGGUGUGGUUUGGCGUUUCGAAGUCAGUAAGGGGCGGGGUUUGAGUUUGGCCCCGCCCAUGGUUUAUUCGUGGUUCAGGAUGGGUUUGGUGAAAGGCGGGGUUAAAUAACCAAAUAAGGGGCGUGGUCAUCACAUCUAAGGGGCGUGGCCUAAGGGCUGGGUGGAGCACUACCAUGUUUGGCAUUGUGGGCGUGGCUUUUUGUGGGCGGAGCUCGGAGGAGGAGACCUGUGUGGGUGUGGGGGUUGGCCACGCCCUGUUUGGCCACGCCCCUCACUGACCACGCCCUCUUUUGGCCCCGCCCCCCAGCACAUCUGCCGCUACCUCCAGGCCGAGGCGGACAAGAAGGAGCGGCCGGAUUUCCGCGAGGGCUGGAGGGGAGCCUUCAAAAUGGUGAUUGGGGAGCCCCAAAAACGGCCAAAAUCCACCCAAAAUCCACCCAAAAUUCACCCAAAAUCAGCCCAAAAUCCACCCAAAAUCCCGCCCCAAAUCCACCCAAAAUCCACCCAAAAUCCACCCAAAAUCCACCCCAAAUCCACCCCAAAUCCACCCCAAAAUCCACCCAAAAUCCACCCAAAAUCCACUCAAAAUCCACCCAAAAUCAGCCCAAAAUCCACCCAAAAUCCACCCCAAAUCCACCCGAAAUCCACUCCAAAUCCACCCAAAAUCCCGCCCCAAAAUCCACCCAAAAUCCAUCCCAAAAUCCCCCAAAAUCCAUCCCAAAUCUCGCCCCAAAUCCACCCCAAAUCCACCCAAAAUCCACUCAAAAUCCACCCAAAAUCCCGCCCCAAAUCCACGCAAAAUCCCGCCCCAAAUCCACCCAAUUUCCACCCAAAAUUACCCCCAAAAAAUCCCCCAAAAUACGCCCAAAAUUAACCCAAAAAAAAUCCAAAAAAAUUCCCCCCCAAACCCCCAAAAUUACCCCCAAAAAAUCCCCCAAAAUCCCCCAAAAAUCACCCAAAAUUCCCCCAAAAAAUUCCGUCCUGGGAGGCUCCAAAAUUCCCCCAAAAAUGCCCCAAAAUGGCCAAAUUUGGGUUUUUUCCCCCAGAACGUCGCCCGGCAGAACAACGACAGCGACUGCGGCGCCUUCGUGCUGCAGUACUGCAAAUUCCUGGCGCUGGGGCGGCCGUUCAGCUUCACGCAGCAGGACAUGCCCCACCUGCGCCGCCUGAUGUACAAGGAGCUCUGCCACUGCCAGCUCGCCCUCUAAAAACCCCAAAUUUGGGGGAUUCACCCCAAAAAAACCCCGGAAAAAUCCCCCAAAAAAACCCCCCAAAAAUCCCCCAAAAAAACCCCGGAAAAAUCCGCCCCGGAACGGCCGAAUUUGGGAUUUUUUGGGGAAUUUUAGGGGAAUUUUUGGGGAAUUUUUGGGGAAUUUUUGGGGUUUUUUGGGGAAUUUUUGGGGAUUUUUUUGGGGAAUUUUCGGGGUUUUUUGGGAAAUUUUGGUGGUUUUUUGGGAAGGUCCAAAAAUUUUGGGAGCUCCCGGAAUUCCGAG